Parus major (Great Tit) is the source of this 5032-nucleotide long non-coding RNA. RefSeq lists it as uncharacterized. The record is from RefSeq and is a predicted model, not a curated record. The transcript has 8 exons. NCBI's taxonomy places the organism in Eukaryota, Metazoa, Chordata, Aves, Passeriformes, Paridae.
UCUUUGUUUGUUCUUUAUUCUUCUCUAUUUGUCUCUCCUUUAUUUUUUCCCUUUAGGCUUCCUUCUCUUGUCCUAGAUCUUCUUUUGCAAUUUAUUAGGUUUGUUAAUUUUGAAACGCUUUAAAAUAAAUAUUUUGCAAACUAUGCUCUGGUGGAGAGUUUGUAGGAGUCAAAAGUCCAAGAUUAACCCAUGUCAGGACACUUGGUCUCAUCUGACUUUGUAAAUCUAAAAGAUAAAAGGUGAAUGUCCAAAUGAGAACCAGUCACCUGACCUCCUUUUGUAGUCACAGAGGGAAAGUAACAAACAGAGUUUCAGUUCAAUUCAUCCUAAUCAGGUUGUCUGCUUUGGGUCAAAAAACAUCUCUGGAAAAUGUCCGUUUCUUUCUGCUGUAUAUGAAAAAGGCUUGGGUACUCUUCUGCUGAUCUGGGAUCCAUCUCCAGGCUAUGGACAUCUCUCACUGGCAUUGGCACCCAGCUGGUAAGAAUAAGAUUAACUUCGAGAGGCUUUGCUGAAGACAGCAUUCCAGGGCUGGUGCACACCAACCAGACUGACCAGACCAUUGUGAAAUGACCCGCUCUUCAGAAAGGAGUCUGAGAAACAAGUCUUGGGAUGUUUCCAUCUUGAAAGCCUUGGGAUAGGAAUGAGGGCUUCUUCUAUGACAAAUCUUGAAUAUUGUUACCAAAUUUUUAGAUUGAGAAGAUUACUCAGUGUUCUUUCAAGAGUUUAAUGAGAUUACAAAUUCUUUGAGGUGAGAAAGUUCAACAUUAAUUUUAGACGGAAAUAGCUUUUUCAGCAAUAAAAAUACUGAAGAUUACUUCACCUGGGCAACUUUGGCAAGGACUUCAGUAGCAAACCUGACUUUUAUGUACUUGACCUUCUUUCUUGAAGUUUUUCUUAAACCCACAAAUACAUAUCCUGGGACAAAAGGAAAGGGAGAUUGUUCUCAAGUUACUGCUUCCAAAAGCCACAUCCCUUUGGUCAAAUACAGCCGUAUGAUGGUCCCUUAAACCUUGAAAACACUAGAAUGGAUUUCAGAUCUGACAAAAAACCUGUGAUGACUGCAAAGCCAAGCCAAACCAGUAAUCAAGCAGGACAGAAAUCUUCAUUCCAUUGGCAAGAUAAUUCUCUUCCCUUUGCCUUAGAUGCCAGAUUCUGGAAACAGUGAUGUUUUCAAUCCAAAUGAGAAAGAUUGUGCAGGCAAUUGUUUACAGCUUCUGGCCUUGAUGUAUGCACUAUAAAAUGGUGAAAAGAUUAUUAGAUGAAAGCAAUUAUGUUUCCUUCAUAGUCAAAUUUUGAAGACCAACAAAUGGAUGACCUGACACAGUAUGACAAGUCUUUUGUUUGGAUGUAUUCUGGCAGAGUUGCUGCUUGUAUUUCCCUCUAGCUACCAUUCUGUCCAUCUUGCCCAAGACUGCUACAACAGGUUGCAAUAGAAAAUUCAGAAAGGCUUUUAUUCUUUCCAUUGUUUCAAAAGUGUACUUUUCUACAAUUGGCAAAUAUAAGACACUAUAUUUGAGAAGCACAGUAAUUCUUACUAGAUUUGUAGGAAUAUAUGAAGAGUCAUUCAAAAAAUACCUAAAAUUGCAGAAAGUUAUUUGCAAUCUCCUGCUACAAGAAAACUUAGGAGCAAUCACAUUCUUGUAAGUUUAAAAAUUGUGGGUUUAACAUGUAUUUUUUGGGUGGGGUGCUUAUAUGCUGUUGUAGUUUUUCAGUGGGGCUUUUAUCCCAGUAAGUAAGCACUCUUACCUCUCAGGGUAUGAAUCAUCUUUUCCACAUAAUGAUGACCACACUAUUCAACAAUUCUCUGUCUUUUGUGGAAAACGGCUUAAUGAUUGUGCUGUCACAGAGAUCAGAUUAUGUUAAAUCCUAACAUUGUUUUAGUAUUGAACACUGCCUGCACAACUUUUGAAGGAAACAAUCAGAUUAAGGAAGAAAAAAAAAGUUGCAGAUCAGUCAUGGAACUGAACAAAAUUUAUCAGCAAACCUAAAACAUAUACAUUAGGCCACAAAGUUUUUAAAGGAUUUUUUUUCCAAUAACAUGCAAAUAUUCAACUCCCAAAUUCUACUGAUUCUUGUUUUGAAAUAAGUACUAUCAGGGACACUCAAUUCCAGCUCUGUACAUUAAUGAGCACCUUGAAAAGUUUUCAUCCAAUCUAAAUUUAGAUACCUAGUUCAGAUACUGUAGGAAAACAAGCUUCUUAAAUAAUCACUUUUUUAUUUCUCUGUGCCAGAAAGAUUGCAAAAUUUAUAAUAUUUUACAUUUUAAUUUAUUUUCUUAGGACAAAAAAUUCAAUUAAGAGGUUUCUGCAGGAAAGGUUUUCACCUGCCAAUUAAUGGGAAGGAGAAAGACAUUGAGAGUUCCUCAAAAUUUCCUAAGGGUCCUUAAGGUUGGGGGCAUUGCUUUUAUUUAUUUUCAUAUAUAGGCUGGAUUGUGCUCACACAGAUGUUUUGCCACUCAUCCUCCAUCAAACAGGCAAGAAGAAAAAAGUAUCAUUAAAAGCUUGUGGAUGAAGAUAAGGACAGGGACACACCUUAGCAAUUGCCAUCAAAGACAGAAUAAACUUGAAUUAGGUAUAUUAAUGUAUUAAUGUAUUAUUUCAUGUAAUUGCAGCAAAAUAAGGUCGUGAGAAGAAAAACUAAGUUAAAAGCACCUUUUCCCCACCCCUCACCACUUCUUUCCAAGCUCAGCUUCACUCUGAGUCUUCUGCCUUCUGAGCAGUGCUAGGGAAUGGGGAAUGGGAAAUGGGGAAUGGGGGUUGCAGUCAGUUCCUGGCAUUGUGUCUAUGAAUCUUCUUCCUCUUCACACUCAGGCUGCAGUUCUUCGAGAACUGCUCAAGCAAGGGUCCUUUCCAUGGGGUACAAUCCUACAGGAACAGUCUGACCCAACGUAGGCUCCUUCAGGUGCUGCAGGUUGAUAUCUGCUUCACCUUGAACCUCCUUGGGGCUGCAAGGAGACAGCUUCCUGAGCACAGCCUGCACCCCACUCUGCAAGAGAAUCUCUGCACCUCCUCCCCCUCCUUCUUCACCACCCUUAGUGUCUCUGGGGCUGCUUCUCUUACAUAAUCUCUCUCCCCUCUCCCAGCUGUUUUGGUUGGUUUAUACCUUAAAUACAUUAUCACAGAGAUGCUAGCAGCAAUGUUGCUGAGAGACUCAGCUUCAGCCAGCAGGGUGUCCUUUUUGGACCCAGCUGGAAUUGACUGCCCAAUGUGGGAGCAACUUCUGCUGUCUUCACAUAAGCCACACCUGCCACCCCCAGUGUUAUCAAAAUCUAGCCACAUUAACUCACAUAAACCCAAUAUAAUACUUAAAUCCAAGAGCACAUUUUUUUUCUUGUUUUAUUUUUGCUAAUAGAUUUAUAAUAAAAAGUAAUUAUAUUUGCUAUUUUCACUUUAUAUUGACUCUUGAUUAUUAGGAAAAUGGUAAAAAUAUCUUCAUUAUAAUAUUUGUCACUUGGAUCUGAAUAAUAAUACGGAUCUGAUAAAAAUACAGUUAUUGGGGGGCAAGAUAUAGUUUAGGUUUAAUUUUGGGAAAAAAGACAGCAAACAAUAUUGAAAUAGAAUGUGUGGGAAGUACAUGUUAAGUAGAAUGUGAAAACAAAUUAGUCGCAUACUCAGGAAAAUUGAAAUAGAUACACUUUAAAUUUCCCAAUUCCUAAUUUUGACUGCAAAUUAUCAGUGCUCAGGGGAAAUGGAAAAAUGAGAGACAACAACAGAAAAUUUGGUUUGCAAGCCAGAAGUCAAACAAUGAAAGAAUAGUGGAGUAAGAAUGGUAAACUGACCCAGUGGUAAAUAAACAAGGAAUAGAAAAAACAAGCUUUGCUUUUGCAAAUAAAAGGUUUUUUCUUCUUUUUAUUUUAUUACUUUUUAUUUUUUAUACUAAGAUGAGGGGAGGCUCUAGAAACAGGAAAAAGAACAAUAUACUUCUCUAUAAAAUAUCAGCCACUCCUGCAAUCAUGAAUCAUUUAGCUAUAAUGUACAACAGUAUGGGGAUGGCUAUAAAAUACUUUGAGAAACAAGAAAAGCAAGUUUUAAAAUUGAUAAUUGUCCCUCAUCUGUUUGAAGGUACUUAUUGGCUUUUCAAUUACCUGCAUCUGAAUUCCAAAUUGAAAUCCUUUAUUACUACUGCUUAACAAAAUGUGCAUUUGUAGCAAAGCUUUGCACUAACCACCAUUAAUCCAGCAAUAUUUAAUGUCUUGGAAGGAUAAUGUACGUUGGAGGAUCAGAAUUAAGAAAGGAUUUAUCUGGUAAUGAUUUGACCCUUGGAAAGGGGAAAACUCCUAUGCUUAUAUUCUGAUUUAGUUAUUUUUUAAAAUUCAGGCAAUACUUACCCGUGGCUUGCAAUAAAAGCUAGAUAAGGUCCAAUUUUUUUUCCUCAUCUCCCAUCUCUCUUUCACAUUCCAGUAAAAAACCUUGGUUUAGGCUACUCUCCUUCUUGUGAAUGUAAAGAAAAGCAUGUAAAAUUAUUUUCAGUCUGAUAUGUGGCAAAUAACUGCAAGGAAUAUAAAAUCAGUGCCUCUUUGCUUUGUAAAGCAAAUCCUAAGAAAUAAAACAACAGCCAAAUAUUAUAUGUAAUAUAAAAAAUAUUAUACCACAAAGAAGCAUAGGCAGAUUUAAUGUAUUACAUAUUUAGUAUCAAAAGGUCCAUGAAAAAUUAUCCAAUUUCAUGACAGCUGAAAUUUUGUUACUAAUUAUACCAAUCAUCAUAAUAGCAGGCAGUAUGACACAUAGACAGAACUUAUACAAACCCCUUUUUUUAAAUCUGGUGCUUAAAUGUCAAUUUUCUAGGAUAAAGGAUGUAUUUUAGCUUUACUUAUUUUUUAUUUGUGGCUUUUCAAAGAGUGGUUCAAGAGUUGAGUUUAUGCUCCUUAGGCACAUCUGAAAUUCCAUACAAGAAAUGCCAAAACCCUUACACAAACAGUAAAAAGGUCACUUUAGCUCUCUUGCACACAAGUGAAUAGCAUCUGCAUCUGAAAAAGAAGCUGAUGGGAAGAGUGAUGGAAGAGUCCCUCUCAGACUGACCUUCCAUCAGAAGC